UACGUAGGGUGCAAGCGUUAAUCGGAAUUACUGGGCGUAAAGCGUGCGCAGGCGGCUUUGCAAGACAGAUGUGAAAUCCCCGGGCUCAACCUGGGAACUGCAUUUGUGACUGCAUCGCUGGAGUGCGGCAGAGGGGGAUGGAAUUCCGCGUGUAGCAGUGAAAUGCGUAGAUAUGCGGAGGAACACCGGUGGCGAAGGCGGCUAUCUGGACCGACAUUGACGCUGAGGCGCGAAAGCGUGGGGAGCAAACAGG
RNAcentral lists this ribosomal RNA (253 nucleotides) under uncultured bacterium. Its description in RNAcentral is "partial 16S ribosomal RNA". It matches the Rfam family "Bacterial small subunit ribosomal RNA", at positions 524 to 776 of the family's 1533-position model. The record is from RNAcentral.